Molecule: long non-coding RNA, 1600 nt
Filed under: Lynx pardinus (Iberian lynx)
Lineage: Eukaryota; Metazoa; Chordata; Mammalia; Carnivora; Felidae
Source: RNAcentral
CAGGAGCAACACAACCGGCAGUUGCAGGAGCAGUGGGAGGAGCUGUCAAGUCAGGUACAGUCAGGAGGCGGCCUUGGUCUCUAGCUUCCCCUAGGAAGUCCCGUUGUAGUCCUCGCCCCGGUUUUUACCCUGUCCCGGCCUUUAAGGACAUCCCCUACCCCUUGAAGCCCCGCAAACCCCGUCCUCACAAGACCCAUCCCUAGCUCUUCUACUACGGAGGGGAACAACUGAGUCAACAGCGCGCAGAACAGCAACUCGGGACCCAACUGAUGGCUUUGCAGGUGUUUGGGUGGGGCCCCCAAUGCCGGAGCGGCGGUGCGAGCAGCUCCCUGAGGGGCGGGGGUGGGCCAAGCGGACGCGUGGGUGGGGUUCCGGGAGUGCUGGGCUCCUGACAUUCCUUGGAUCCGUCGGAAGAAACAACUGGAGGUGGUGGAGGCCAAGCACGCCAAGCAGGCCGAGGGCCUGCGGCAGGUGCGAGCGAAGCUGGGGUUUGAGGGAGAGUGUCGGUUUCGAGUGUGGGUGGAGCCUGGGCAGGUGCAGGAUGGAGAGGGGUUAUUAUCCCAAGUCUCAUCAGGGCCCCCCACAUCCCAGGGCGUGCAGCGGACGGAGGAGGCUUGGGCCAGCUUUCAGGAGCAGAGCGGAGUCCUGCAGGUACGACCCCCCUCAGUCCCAAGAGCAGCUCACCUCCGACUCCACUGUGGCUCCCACUCCUCCACCCCCAGAGCUGCUCCUCUCUCUCCCCGCCCCACCCCACCCCCAGAUCUCCUCUGCGAGUCCUGGGGCCUUACUCCCUCCCCGUCCAGGAGCUGCAGGGAAAGGUGAUGGAGGCGGCGGCUACGCUGGACGCCUCGAGGGGCGGCCGGGAACUGUAAGGGGUUCAGGACUGUGGGGGUAAGGUGGGGUGGCUGUGGAACCGAGGCAGAUCGUCCACCUCGAUGCCCUUCCCGGCAGGUGCGACUCCCAGCCUCGACGGAUGCAGGACUGCGCGGGCUCGCUCAUGGAAGAGGUGGCCAAAGCUGACUGUGUGAGCGCGGGCCCUGGGCGGGGCGCGCUGGAGUCGGGACCCAACACAUGGGAGAUACCCACACCCACGGGGUCCCACCUGCCCUCGAGGGCCCGCCCCCCGACGGAAUCGCAACCCCCGUACCCGCCCUGCGGGAGACUGGUCCCCUACGAUUCCCUCCCGCUCCUUGAGAGACCCGGACCUCGCGGCGCCCUCCGCUCCGGCGCUGAGCUGGACGCUGCUCCGUCUUUCCGUAGGAGAGGCGGCUUUUCGGCGGCACCUGCGGAGCGGGCCUCAGGUGAGCCAGUGGCAGGCGGCGGGCGCGCUGGGCGUCUUGCCCGCCACUGCCCGUCUAUCCGUCCGUCCUUGGGUCCGCAGGCUGUGGGGUCUGGGCGCGCUGCAGACGCUGCUGUUGCUCCCGCUUGGUUUCCUGGCGCUGCCUAUGCUCUGCCUGAUGCUGGUGAACCCCUCCGCCCUCCGCGGGGGGCUCCCGCGCUUCGACUUGGACGCAGCCUUCCGCGGUUUGCGCUACACUCUGUCCCCGCUGCUCCAACUGCGCGCGCGCGGCCUGCUGCCCGCCUAACGCGCAUCAUGCCG